UUGAAGGAUGGGCACCAAGUCUAACCAAU
RNAcentral lists this non-coding RNA (29 nucleotides) under Rattus norvegicus (Norway rat). Lineage: Eukaryota; Metazoa; Chordata; Mammalia; Rodentia; Muridae. The record is from RNAcentral.